Molecule: transfer RNA, 87 nt
Filed under: Gammaproteobacteria bacterium AqS3
Lineage: Bacteria; Pseudomonadati; Pseudomonadota; Gammaproteobacteria
Description: tRNA-Leu
Rfam family: tRNA
About the family: Transfer RNA (tRNA) molecules are approximately 80 nucleotides in length. Their secondary structure includes four short double-helical elements and three loops (D, anti-codon, and T loops).
Source: RNAcentral
GCGGAUGUGGCGGAAUGGGUAGACGCGCCAGAUUUAGGUUCUGGUGCCCUUCGGGGCGUGGGGGUUCAAGUCCCUCCAUCCGCACCA